Molecule: long non-coding RNA, 664 nt
Organism: Monodelphis domestica (gray short-tailed opossum)
Lineage: Eukaryota; Metazoa; Chordata; Mammalia; Didelphimorphia; Didelphidae
Source: RefSeq, a predicted model, not a curated record
CAGGAUUCUAACAGUUAUGGGGAACUGACAACUGUCUCUCUCGAGCUGGGAUUCAGACAGAGAGGCUGUGUGUCAAAGAGUCUCCUUGAAAAAAUCAUCUUUGAAGGUGACUGACUUGGAUUGUCCUCAAAGAAAGUGGAUCAUGGCCAGAUGGAAAUGAAGAGGAAAGGGAUCUUAUUUUUGGUGUCUGUCAUGCUCAGUAUUGCAAUGUUUGUGGGAACUUGCCUUGCUCACAUAGAAUAUGAAGAAAACUUUCACCAGUGCCACACUUCGCACCAAUACUGCAAUGAGCAAUGGAAUUGCAUUUAUCUGGAGAAUCAGAACAAAAGAGAGGAAGCAAAAUAGGACUCCUUGGGCCCAAGGAAUUAAUUACAUGGAAGAGACUCACAAUGUUGAUUUGGAGAACAAUUUGCAAUGCUUCAACUUCAAAGAAGAAAUUCUAACUCCCUGAGUCAUGAAAAUAAUCUCUCUCUACCCCCAAAUGAAAAGGUAUUCUUCCAUUAAAGCAUGAGGAAAAAAAGAGAGUAAAACAAUCACAGAAUGGCAUCAUAUCUGCAGUUGCAUCAGUGUGGAUUUCUAUAAUUGUAUCAGGGUGGAAAACUUCCAUGAUGUAUCAUAACCUAUCUGAUACUUGGGUAAAUAAGUAUUAAAGUGUUGAUCAACA